RNAcentral lists this ribosomal RNA (373 nucleotides) under uncultured bacterium. RNAcentral describes it as "bacterial SSU rRNA". It matches the Rfam family "Bacterial small subunit ribosomal RNA", at positions 525 to 896 of the family's 1533-position model. The record is from RNAcentral.
ACGUAGGUGACGAGCGUUAUCCGGAUUUACUGGGCGUAAAGCGCUUGUAGGUGGUUGCGUAAGUUGGACGUUAAAUCUCUGGGCUCAACUCAGAGAGGCCGUUCAAUACUGCGUGGCUAGAGGAUGUCAGAGGAAGGUGGAAUUCCAGGUGUAGUAGUGAAAUGCGUAGAUAUCUGGAGGAACACCCAUGGCGAAGGCAGCCUUCUGGGGCAUUCCUGACACUGAGAAGCGAAAGCUAGGGGAGCAAACAGGAUUAGAAACCCUGGUAGUCCUAGCUGUAAACGAUGAAUGCUAGGUGUUGGCGGCUUUAACCCCGUCUGUGCCGAAGCUAACGCGUUAAGCAUUCCGCCUGGGAAGUACGAUCGCAAGAUUA